RNAcentral lists this ribosomal RNA (253 nucleotides) under uncultured bacterium. Its description in RNAcentral is "partial 16S ribosomal RNA". It matches the Rfam family "Bacterial small subunit ribosomal RNA", at positions 524 to 776 of the family's 1533-position model. The record is from RNAcentral.
UACGUAGGGUGCGAGCGUUAAUCGGAAUUACUGGGCGUAAAGCGUGCGCAGGCGGUUUUGUAAGCCAGAUGUGAAAUCCCCGGGCUUAACCUGGGAACUGCAUUUGGGACUGCAAGGCUAGAGUGUGUCAGAGGGGGGUAGAAUUCCACGUGUAGCAGUGAAAUGCGUAGAGAUCGGGAGGAACAUCUGUGGCGAAGGCGGCCAUCUGGACCAGCACUGACACUGAGGCACGAAAGCGUGGGGAGCAAACAGG